This is a long non-coding RNA of Oryza brachyantha (malo sina), 1093 nucleotides long. RefSeq lists it as uncharacterized. Lineage: Eukaryota; Viridiplantae; Streptophyta; Magnoliopsida; Poales; Poaceae. The record is from RefSeq and is a predicted model, not a curated record. The transcript has 7 exons.
CCCCGCGCUGCCGCCUCUCCCUCCUCCCUCUGCUCCACUUACUGUAAGCACGCAAUAAGAAAGAGGACAGAUAACAGUUACAUCAACGAACAUAUUCUGCUGCAACAGUGAAUUGGCACGCAUUGAGCUUUGUGCAAUCAGAUGAGAUUUGAAUCCUUGUGUGAUGUUUUCAGUCUCAGAUGAACAGAGCAGUGUUUAUGUUUCUAAUAGUGUGUGCAAUACUCAUUGACAGGUGAUGCUGCUGCUAGUAGUAUCAGAGUUCUUUUAAAAGAAGUAACGCCAGAGUUAAAGAUUAAAAGGUUGCAUCUGACUGCGACGGUUGGUAGCACAGCUCUUCUCUAUGCUGUAACAGCAGCUGGACUUCAGUUACUAGGACCAAUGAUUUACCUCCAAAGCUGCAACCGGAGUUAAGGCCACGCUGCUUUACUUUGAAGACAACUGUGAGGUUCAUUGCAUGUUGGACACUACCAUGGCCUGAGGCUGAUGGCGCUGAAGAUAGGAACCCAACCAGGAUCUUGCCGAAGACUUCUCUCGCAAAUUUGUGGAUUGUGCUCCUUGGGAUCAGAAGAUUGAGCCACGGGUGUGGAACUUCCCAGAGGCCUUGAGCCCUCAGCUUCAGCUCAGAGGUGUGCACCCUGUCCAAGAACUCCAGAUAAUUACCAUCUUUGGAGCAGGUUCAAGAGCAAUCCGAGCUCUGGUGAUGAUCCCAAACUGGCCCAGGCCGCCAAGAGCAGCGUAGAAGAGGUCGGAGUUCUCCUCGUGUGAGCAGCAACCGGGUCCUGUGCAAGUCUCCUUCCAGAACACGGUCACCGUGGGCUCCAACCACUACACCGAGAAUGGUUGGAUGGCACCAUUCACCAUGGGUGAUCGUGUUGGCAAUGACCACUUUUUGGCACCUGACCUUGACGUGGCCCCGUUCUGUCGUUGCAAUGGACCGUCGUGUCAAUGUCGUCCACACAAAUCCUCAUCCUCGACACACGUAUAUGUGCAAUUAGGCUCUACGGUAACAACAAGGUGCGGUCUCUCCUGGUGCUGUUUUCUGGCAGGCAGUUGAUUUCGAGAUUUUCAUCGAAAUUUUUUUUCCAGUCUUAAC